AGGAAAGGCUAAGCGUGUAGAAACCUUUUUUGCUACUUGUUUGGACGGCGGUUCGAUUCCGCCCGGUUCCACAA
RNAcentral lists this transfer-messenger RNA (74 nucleotides) under Bacteroidales bacterium. Its description in RNAcentral is "partial transfer-messenger RNA". It matches the Rfam family "transfer-messenger RNA", at positions 299 to 374 of the family's 374-position model. From Rfam's summary of the family: Bacterial tmRNA, also known as 10Sa RNA or SsrA, is named for its dual tRNA and mRNA-like properties. Its role is to liberate the mRNA from a stalled ribosome. To accomplish this part of the tmRNA is used as a reading frame that ends in a translation stop signal. The record is from RNAcentral. Lineage: Bacteria; Pseudomonadati; Bacteroidota; Bacteroidia; Bacteroidales.